This is an RNA transcript of Papaver somniferum (opium poppy), 2099 nucleotides long. It is a transcript of the gene named probable 2-oxoglutarate-dependent dioxygenase At3g50210, with no coding region annotated. NCBI's taxonomy places the organism in Eukaryota, Viridiplantae, Streptophyta, Magnoliopsida, Ranunculales, Papaveraceae. The transcript has 8 exons. The record is from RefSeq and is a predicted model, not a curated record.
CUAAUCUCUUGCUUUCCAAAUUUAAACCAUCCUAAAUCAGGAAGGAGGAAGCUUGAUUUGGGAGAAACUAAAAUUUAGAAGUCAAAUAAAAGUGUAGUUCAUCAGAUAUCUAUUGCUCGGAAGCCGAUUAGGGAAUAUUAUGUGUUCUGGCAUUGCAGUGUUGAUGAUUUAACGGAUUUUAAAUAUUGGUCAUGCCCUAGAUUUUGGUUUGUUAGUACUCUAUUUGGUUGAUACUUGGUAGACUAAAAAGAUUUGCUAUGUCAUUUAUUUAACAUUUUGUUGUUUAUUUGAUUUGAUUACCAGAAGGGCCAUGGGAUUUCAACUUUACUAUGGUUAUUCAGAAAUACUAAGCUCUCAUGAUGUUCGUCAUCACCACUCUAGAUUAACUAGACCAGUUAUUCGACAAUUAGGUUUGAUUGAUUUAGGAUUCUCUGGAUCUUCUACAACUUGGUCUGAUCAUAGAUCCCACAAUGCCCAUACUGCUGUUAGACUAGAUAGAGCUUUUGUCAAUACUUUAUGGAUAAAUAACUACUCAGGCAGCUUUUCUUCAUCAUGUGCCACCUGCUGCUUCAGACCUGAACACAUCCCUUUUUAGCUCUGCAGAUGUUGGUUUUAUCAAACUUCUUGUAAACUCAAAUGCACUAGACAUCAACUUUUUUUUUCUUCUUUUCUUCCCCUCAUGCACCCUCAGGAGUCAGUUCAGUUUGAUAAUCAAGUUUCUGGCUCCCUACUCGGAUCAAGUCUCCUACUUUAAUUCUUGGGAUUUUAUUUAAAUUUAGAAAUGUCUUCCAACUUCAAAUCCAUUCCCAUUAUAGGUUUGCCAGUUGAUCUUUCUUUUUGAAGCUUAUUAUUAUUUGAGCACUGCAUAUCUUUAUAACCAAUUGAUCAAUUUCCUUCUUUUGUGUUUAAUUUUAGAUGUUAGUCCUCUACUGUCUAACAAGUGGGGCGAUGUUGAUAAUGAAGGUGUAUCUGAAGUUGUUAAACAACUACUGAUCAAGCUUGCAAAGAGGCAGGGUUCUUCUAUGUGACGAUACCAGCGAAUUGGAGUAAAAGUAACCAAAGGCAAACUUGAUAAGCAUGAAGCAAUCGAUGUAAGCCUUACUUUUUCGUUAAAUGAAUACCUGAAUUGACUAUGUAGUAAUGAUUCCUGGCUGAUGAUAGUUAUUACCUUUCCUGCAAAAGUGUUACAGAGAAUUUAAGCCGGGGAUAUAGGGAGAUCUUGGCAAAACUUUAGAAGGAUCUAAUAAAUGGCCAGACAGUCCUUCAAACUUCUUACAGAUCUUUCAAGAAACAUAUUGCGGGGGCUUGCUCUUGCGCUUGGUGGAUGUCCCGAAGAAUUUGAAGGUGAAAGAGCCGGAGAUCCAUUUUGGGUAAUGCGUUUCAUAGGUUAUCCUGGUAUAUCUGAUGCCAAAGGCCUAGAUGUUCCAGAAAAUGCCGUUGGAUGUGGAGCUCAUACAGAUUAUGGACUUUUGACAUUGGUUAAUCAAGAUGAUGAGAUUCCUGCACUUCAGGUGAGAAAUCAAGCCGGUGAAUGGAUAUGGGCAGUUGCUAUACCUGGCACAUUUGUAUGCAACAUCCUUCUUUACGAAAUAAUCACCGUUGCUCACUUCUCUGCGUUAAUCCUCAGUGCUGUAUGUUCUUAAAUUAUUGUAUUCCAGAUAUGGUCCAAUGGUUUAUACGAACCAACUUUGCAUAGAGUGGUCAACAACUCACCAAAAUAUAGAGUAUCUGUUGCUUUCUUCUAUGAGCCCAACUUCGAUGCUGUUGGAGUUUUUUAAGGAAAAAGUCGGUGGGAUUGAGAAAUGCGAAAGAACUAUUUAUGGAGAGCAUUUAGUCGCAAAGUGCUCAACAACUCUGUCACCUAAAGGAUAGUCAUAUAUCUGUGAAUGAAUGUUGCUUGUUUUAUCAUGGUGAAUAACUCUUGAUCAAGUAUCUCGAGGUUUGUUAUUAUUCAUGUUCAUGUCGUCGUAGUAUUCAACCUUGUUUCCUUUCUUCUUUCUUUUAAUUGGUUAGUCAGGAAUUGGUAAAUCAAAUCACUCGUAUUUGAUUUUCACAAACUUAUAGUCGGAAAUUAUCAACUUCUCCUACUUUUCCAGCUA